GACGAACGCUGGCUGCGUGCUUAACAGAGGCAGGUCGAACGGAAAGGCCCUGCUUUUGUGGGGUGCUCGAGUGGCGAACUGGUGAGUAACACGUGAGUAACCUGCCCUUGACUUUGGGAUAACUUCAGGAAACUGGGGCUAAUACCGUAUAGGAGCUCCUGCUGCAUGGUGGGGGUUGGAAAGUUUCGGCGGUUGGGGAUGGACUCGCGGCUUAUCAGCUUGUUGGUGGGGUAGUGGCUUACCAAGGCUUUGACGGGUAGCCGGCCUGAGAGGGUGACCGGCCACAUUGGGGCUGAGAUACGGCUGAGAGUCCUACGGGAGGCAGCAGUGGGGAAUAUUGCACAAUGGGCGGAAGCCUGAUGCAGCAACGCCGAGUGCGGGAUGACGGCCUUCGGGUUGUAAACCGCUUUCGCCUGUGACGAAGCGUGAGUGACGGUAAUGGGUAAAGAAGCAACGGAUAACUACGUG
This 468-nucleotide ribosomal RNA is filed under the name uncultured bacterium. Its description in RNAcentral is "partial 16S ribosomal RNA". It matches the Rfam family "Bacterial small subunit ribosomal RNA", at positions 28 to 507 of the family's 1533-position model. The record is from RNAcentral.